This is a non-coding RNA of Schizophyllum amplum, 83 nucleotides long. The record is from the annotation of a GenBank genome assembly. NCBI's taxonomy places the organism in Eukaryota, Fungi, Basidiomycota, Agaricomycetes, Agaricales, Schizophyllaceae.
GGUCUAAUAGUGUAGUGGUUAUCACUCGGGAUUUUGAUUACGUAAUAAUUCCCGUAACCCAGGUUCGAACCCUGGUUAGACCU